GGGAAUAUGGCUUAGUGGUAGAGUGCUUGUCUUGCAUGCAUGAAACCCUGAGUUAGAUUCCUCAGUGCCA
This 70-nucleotide transfer RNA is filed under the name Dipodomys ordii (Ord's kangaroo rat). It matches the Rfam family "tRNA". Rfam says of the family: Transfer RNA (tRNA) molecules are approximately 80 nucleotides in length. Their secondary structure includes four short double-helical elements and three loops (D, anti-codon, and T loops). The record is from Rfam by way of RNAcentral. Lineage: Eukaryota; Metazoa; Chordata; Mammalia; Rodentia; Heteromyidae.